This 596-nucleotide ribosomal RNA is filed under the name fungal endophyte. RNAcentral's name for it is "eukaryotic LSU rRNA". The stretch from base 219 to 372 matches the Rfam family "5.8S ribosomal RNA". Lineage: Eukaryota; Fungi. The record is from RNAcentral.
UGUUAGCUUUCGUAGGUGACCUGCGGAAGGUCAUUACCGAGUGCGGGUUCCAACGAGCCCAACCUCCCACCCGUGUCUACCGUUACCGCGUUGCCUCGGCGGGCCCACUGGGGCCUGGCCCCGGUCGCCGGGGGGCUUCUGCCCCCGGGCCCGCGCCCGCCGAAGCACCCUAGAACCCUGUCUGAACAGUGAGUCUGAGUCGGAUAUUGAAUCAUUAAAACUUUCAACAACGGAUCUCUUGGUUCCGGCAUCGAUGAAGAACGCAGCGAAAUGCGAUAAGUAAUGUGAAUUGCAGAAUUCCGUGAAUCAUCGAAUCUUUGAACGCACAUUGCGCCCCCUGGCAUUCCGGGGGGCAUGCCUGUCCGAGCGUCAUUUCUGCCCUCCAGCACGGCUGGGUGUUGGGCGCUGUCCCCCCGGGGACACGCCCCAAAAGCAGUGGCGGCGCCGCGUCGGGUCCUCGAGCGUAUGGGGCUUUGUCACCCGCUCGGGAGGGACUCGGUCGGCGCUGGUCUUCCUCCAGGCGACCCUUCGGGGUUCGCCUCUUCCGGUUGACCUCGGAUCAGGUAGGGCUACCCGCUGAACUUAAGCAUAUCAAA